RNAcentral lists this long non-coding RNA (298 nucleotides) under Homo sapiens (human). RNAcentral's name for it is "HSALNT0031146". The record is from RNAcentral. Lineage: Eukaryota; Metazoa; Chordata; Mammalia; Primates; Hominidae.
CUUCCUAACAACCCUCAGAGGAUGCUGAUUCUACUAGUCUGUGACCUCACACUUUGAGUAGAAAGAGACCCAGGAACACGUGCGAUCUUGAGACUGAAGAUGCCAUCUGGCAGGGUUAGUGCUGCCUGCUGCCAUCCUAAUCUGAGCGUGAACAAGAGAACUCUAUGGACAGAGGCCGAGUGAGCCAACUGCGCAGGGAGUGAACUCACUCUGAAUGGGGCUGUUCUAACACCCGCCAAGUCAAGUCAUUAAGAUGCCAUCCCCGAGGUGCAGCCCCCAGCGUCACCUCUGGAUAUCC